GACGGAGGGGGCAAGCGUUGUCCGGACUCACUGGGCGUAAAGAGCUCGUAGGUGGUUUGUCGCGUUGUUCGUGAAAACUCACAGCUCAACUGUGGGCGUGCGGGCGAUACGGGCAGGCUAGAGUUCGGUAGGGGAGACUGGAAUUCCUGGUGUAGCGGUGAAAUGCGCAGAUAUCAGGAGGAACACCGGUGGCGAAGGCGGGUCACUGGGUCUUUUCUGACGCUGAGGGACGAAAGCUAGGGGAGCGAACGGG
Molecule: ribosomal RNA, 253 nt
Filed under: uncultured bacterium
Lineage: Bacteria
Description: partial 16S ribosomal RNA
Rfam family: Bacterial small subunit ribosomal RNA
Source: RNAcentral